AUUUAUUUUAGGUGUACUGUCCCUUUAAAAGGUCAGAGUUAAGAACAGCAUGAGCGCGCGGUGGAGCGAGGGACGCCUGGCACUUUGACCUCAAACUACAACCUCUCCAUUCAGAGCAGCAGAUUAUAACUAGUUCUCCCUCUCUCAGAAGUUAUUCCUCCAGCUCUUUGUCCCUGUAAACGAACCACUCUCUGCUAAACAGUGCACAGACGUAAACGCCUCCUCCUCCUGAUUACUUCUAUCUCUUGCGGUUGAACUCGACUGACUCCCUGAAGAGAAACAACUGUGUGCUUCAAGGACAGACGGUCAGGGAAUGCAGGACACCUGAGAGUAGUGUGUGUGUGUGUGUGUGUGUGGUGCUUGUUACUGGAAGACUGAUGUGUUUUCAGUGUGUGUGAGACACAAGGAAAAGCCAGAGGAAACAAGGAAAUGGAGAACGGCCUGGCAACCGAUCGCUUUUGGCAACAGGAGAGGAGAAAAACGAGGAAAGGAAAGAGAAAGAGAAGAAGAAGUGUUGACAGCUAAAGCUCCUGAAGGUGUGAGGAGCACGCACACACACACACACACACACACACACACGGAAGAACCAGGACCCUGAUCGUAUUCAUCCGAAUUGGGAAAGUCAUAUACACCUAGAAUGGAUUGAGGAUGUGUAAAUCAUGGAGUAAUUGACAUUUUGGGGUAAACUAUGCCUUUAAAUACUUGGACAAUCCUGUUUUGUAUCUCUAUUAUAGCUGUUCGUGAUGUUUCUAACAGUUUGGCAUCUAGUUUCUGUGGCUUGCUCAGUUUAAGGGCUAUCUAAGUAGUUAUUUAUGUGUUUAGUGAACACAAAGCCCUCCAGGUCCACUCAGCUGCCCACAUACAGUAUCUACAGUUGAUCAUACACAACAAACAACACAGUUUAUGUGCAACCGCACACGCUCACAUCUAAAAAUAACAAUGCAGACGCUAGAGAAGCUGUGUGUGAGAGGUUAUCUGGCGUGAAACUUGAUAUUAGUGGCAGUGUGACGGUUGAAACACGACCUGCAGGACGGAGCGAGUGCAUGCCACGAAACACACAGGAAAACCUGCCUAAAUAUCCCUAUCUGACUCAGUCACGCUCCAAAACAGCACGGGUUCCUGGGACGUGUUCUUGAUAAUGAAAGAUCACAUCAAAACGUGAUUUGCAGAAUGAACCGCGGUGAUCUGUGAUGGAGCUCGGGGUGUUGGGAUAUUUAAAGCUGCUCCAGAGCCACACAUGUUUCUGAGUCUGAGGUCACCAGCCCGCGAUGAUACAGCAUUCACAAACAAUGGGGCGUCAGCGGUGGAUAAAGAAGGCAGUCUAGAGGCCUGACGUCUGGGAAGCUCACAGACACAGGCGUGUUUAACCCUUUCUGGGAAUGAAUGGGCUCAGAGCCUGCUAAACAGAUGGUGGAGUGUAAAUGGUGUCAGGUCCAACGUGUGUGACGUCAACACCGCGUGAAGAAUGAGGGUGACAGACGAAGAACAGAAGCUGGACUCAAUGUAGCAGCUUAAACGUAGAGAAGAAGAACGUAAGUCAGAGAACUUUGGAACAGCAUGAAGGAGAGUAAAUUAUAAAGUAUGACGACCAUUUCUCAUUCAUAAACUGUGAAGUCGAGAGGAAUCAAGAAGGAAAUCCCUACUUGGGAUUCUGAGGCGGUCUUCAUACGACCUUCAUUCAACACACAGUGCCAAUUACUCAGGCCAGGCCUUCACAAACCACUCAUUUUAAUGCCCAAGACAUCCAUACGCACACAAAAACAAACACACAGACAUAAAGACGGAGCAGCUAUGCAAACAGAGCUCUAGGUGGAUCUUCUAAAUGAUCGUUUUGUCUGGUCAGGAUCUGUUUGAGAAAAUCUCUGCUAAACGAGUCGGACACCACGAUAACAUCUGCGUUUUCACUCCUGUCAGAUUCAGUCCAUAAACACUGAGGAAUAUAUGGAGAGAAUGACAGAUGGGUUUAAAGAGUGACAUCUGGAAAGGAGAAGUGGGCUGAUAAGAUGGUGUUGACAGCCAUGCAGAACAACAUAAUAGUGCGGGAACAAGUGAUUCAUUUGAACAAACAGCUUUGUUUGGUUGGUUGGUUUUAAGGAAUCAGUUCAAAACACUGAUUCAUGUGAGCAGUUUGGCUUGGAUGGUUCAGUUUAAUAAAUCUGUUAAAACUA
Molecule: long non-coding RNA, 2168 nt
Organism: Carassius auratus (goldfish)
Lineage: Eukaryota; Metazoa; Chordata; Actinopteri; Cypriniformes; Cyprinidae
Exons: 4
Source: RefSeq, a predicted model, not a curated record